RNAcentral lists this long non-coding RNA (426 nucleotides) under Malus domestica (apple). RNAcentral describes it as "long non-coding RNA (MDOM_LNC014467)". Lineage: Eukaryota; Viridiplantae; Streptophyta; Magnoliopsida; Rosales; Rosaceae. The record is from RNAcentral.
GUUUAUUGAAAUAUGCAGCAACGCUGACUUUGGGUGCGAUGAUGGGUAUAUGCGUAGUGUACAUAGACCCAGCAACGUUUGGAAUUCCCGAAAUACCCUCGAACUCGUCUUUAAUUUUCCUCGCCGCGCUCUCCUCCGGCCACUGCAGGUACUUGGGCAUCAGCACCGUCCGGAUCGCGGAGCAGACCUCAAGGACGAGCUUGUGGCAGGUCGAGAUGCCGAGUCCGAAUCGUUUCGACACGAGGCGGAGCGGGUCGCCGGUGGCCAGCCGCCAAAGGCACACCGCCACUCUCUGUCGCACCGGAAUCGCGUUCCGCAGCGUCGUGUCCUCCUUCGCGAUGGCGGAGUUGAGCUCCUCGCAUAUUAAAUCGAACGUGGACUUCCCCAUCCGAAACGCCUUUUUGAAUUCCGAAUCCGGAAAAUCCG